UACGUAGGUGGCAAGCGUUGUUGGGAAUUAUUGGGCGUAAAGCGCUCGCGGGCGGUUUGGUAAGUCUGAUGUGAAAGCCCACGGCUCAACCGUGGAGGGUAAUUGGAAACUGGGGAACUUGAGUGCAGAAGAGGAGAGUGGAAUUCCACGUGUAGCGGUGAAAUGCGUAGAUAUGUGGAGGAACACCAGUGGCGAAGGCGACUCUCUGGUCUGUAACUGACGCUGAGGCGCGAAAGCGUGGGGAGCGAACAGG
Molecule: unclassified non-coding RNA, 253 nt
Filed under: uncultured Bacillaceae bacterium
Lineage: Bacteria; Bacillati; Bacillota; Bacilli; Caryophanales; Bacillaceae
Description: contains 16S-23S intergenic spacer region
Rfam family: Bacterial small subunit ribosomal RNA
Source: RNAcentral